Molecule: ribosomal RNA, 449 nt
Filed under: uncultured bacterium
Lineage: Bacteria
Description: partial 16S ribosomal RNA
Rfam family: Bacterial small subunit ribosomal RNA
Source: RNAcentral
AACGAACGCUGGCGGCAUGCCUAACACAUGCAAGUCGAACGAGAUCUUCGGGUCUAGUGGCGCACGGGUGCGUAACGCGUGGGAAUCUGCCCUUUGGUUCGGAAUAACAGUUGGAAACGACUGCUAAUACCGGAUGAUGACGAAAGUCCAAAGAUUUAUCGCCAGAGGAUGAGCCCGCGUAGGAUUAGCUAGUUGGUGGGGUAAAGGCGCACCAAGGCGACGAUCCUUAGCUGGUCUGAGAGGAUGAUCAGCCACACUGGGACUGAGACACGGCCCAGACUCCGACGGGAGGAAGCAGUGGGGAAUAUUGGACAAUGGGCGAAAGCCUGAUCCAGCAAUGCCGCGUGAGUGAUGAAGGCCUUAGGGUUGUAAAGCUCUUUUACCCGGGAUGAUAAUGACAGUACCGGGAGAAUAAGCUCCGGCUAACUCCGUGCCAGCCGCCGCAGUAA